AGGACGAACGCUGGCGGCGUGCCUAACACAUGCAAGUGGAGCGACGACCCGGGCUUCGGCCCGGUGCAAAGCCGCGAACGGGUGAGUAACACGUGGGUAACCUGCCCUGAUGAUUGGGACAACCCGAGGAAACUCGGGCUAAUACCGAAUGUGCCCUCUGGCCGUAAGGCCUCUGGGGAAAGGAAGCUUCGGCCUCCGCAUUGGGAUGGGCCCCGCGGCCCAUUAGCUUGUUGGUGAGGUAACGGCUCACCAAGGCAACGAUGGGU
Molecule: ribosomal RNA, 266 nt
Filed under: uncultured bacterium
Lineage: Bacteria
Description: partial small subunit ribosomal RNA
Rfam family: Bacterial small subunit ribosomal RNA
Source: RNAcentral